RNAcentral lists this ribosomal RNA (253 nucleotides) under uncultured bacterium. Its description in RNAcentral is "partial 16S ribosomal RNA". It matches the Rfam family "Bacterial small subunit ribosomal RNA", at positions 524 to 776 of the family's 1533-position model. The record is from RNAcentral.
UACGUAGGGGGCAAGCGUUGUCCGGAAUCAUUGGGCGUAAAGCGCGCGUAGGCGGCCCGGUAAGUCCGUUGUAAAAGUCAAAGGCUCAACCUUUGAAAGCCGAUGGAUACUGCCGGGCUAGAAUCCGGAAGAGGCGAGUGGAAUUCCUGGUGUAGCGGUGGAAUGCGCAGAUAUCAGGAGGAACACCAACAGCGAAGGCAGCUCGCUGGGACGGUAUUGACGCUGAGGCACGAAAGCGUGGGGAGCAAACAGG